CUGUGGAGUCAAAGUGGCAUGUUUUAAAAUAACAUUUGAUCUGUGUCUCAAAAGCUCCAAAAUCAACCAGAUAUGCGAACGGCAUCCUGCAUAUCCAUUAUGUUAUAGCAGAUGACUUGUGUUUGUGUACAGUA
This 134-nucleotide small nucleolar RNA is filed under the name Drosophila yakuba. Its description in RNAcentral is "snoRNA:GE27011". The record is from RNAcentral. Lineage: Eukaryota; Metazoa; Arthropoda; Insecta; Diptera; Drosophilidae.